ACACACGCUACAAUGGUCUGUACAAUAGGUUGCCAAGCCGCGAGGCGGAGCCAAUCCUAAAAGCAGGCCUCAGUUCAGAUUGCGAGUCUGCAACUCGACUGCAUGAAGUUGGAGUUGCUAGUAAACGCAGGUCAGCUAUACUGCGUUGAAUUACCGGUUCCCCGGGGAUU
This 170-nucleotide ribosomal RNA is filed under the name uncultured Anaerolineaceae bacterium. Its description in RNAcentral is "partial 16S ribosomal RNA". The stretch from base 1 to 151 matches the Rfam family "Bacterial small subunit ribosomal RNA", at positions 1218 to 1367 of the family's 1533-position model. Lineage: Bacteria; Bacillati; Chloroflexota; Anaerolineae; Anaerolineales; Anaerolineaceae. The record is from RNAcentral.